UGCUUUUUUUUUUCUACUUCUAAAUUUUUAUUUACGGUGCUUUAAAAUUCGUGCAAAGUAAAAUUUAAUAGCAUAAAUGAUAUGGCAGAAUUAAAAAGAAUUUACUCUAUAUCGUCUUAAAAUUUGUGCAAAAAUAUAAAAUAAAAAAUAGUAUAAAUAAUAUCAAAAGAGGAAUCUAAUAAAAGAAUAUAUAGAUAAUUAUUUAUUUCCAUAUCUCACUACUACAACUGCAAUAAAAUAUUAAUUAUAUAAGAUAUUUAAAAAUACCUACUCACAUUUCUCAAAUUUUUUUUUACUAAAAAUAAAGUUUAA
This 312-nucleotide long non-coding RNA is filed under the name Ananas comosus (pineapple). RNAcentral describes it as "long non-coding RNA (ACOM_LNC028785)". The record is from RNAcentral. Lineage: Eukaryota; Viridiplantae; Streptophyta; Magnoliopsida; Poales; Bromeliaceae.